Molecule: long non-coding RNA, 426 nt
Organism: Thrips palmi
Lineage: Eukaryota; Metazoa; Arthropoda; Insecta; Thysanoptera; Thripidae
Exons: 3
Source: RefSeq, a predicted model, not a curated record
AUAUCCUAUCGCUUUACCUUGAAAACAGUCAAAAUCUAAUCGAAGUGCGCAAAAUUUCCGAGUUGGGCGUCUUCAGCGCCGUACUGUCGCUUCCGUAGAUAUGAUUUUACAAAAGUCUGACGUUUGAUCCUCUUGAUUCCUUCUUCCCUGCCGGAUCAGCUCUUUCGCGUGCACCCUAUUUCAUCUUCACCGUGUGAUUCAACUUCCGCCUAGCUGCUCCUGCAUUUCUCCUGUGCGGCUGGUCAGCUUUGGCGACAGGUCUCUACGACAGGAUUACCGACUUUCCAGAUUCCUAGGAAGGUACCAAGCCUUCAGUCAUCGCAGCUUUGAAGUUUGGCGCAGACAGGGAAAGACGGCGUCAACCUACAUUCAAAGCUUCAGCUGUUGCAAAUCGCACCCGUACUCUCAGUCAACAUGGUCCAUUCU